UUGGGAUGAGUCCUCAAUACACCCUGUGUGAUUGAUGA
RNAcentral lists this ribosomal RNA (38 nucleotides) under Curcuma comosa. RNAcentral describes it as "partial 26S ribosomal RNA". Lineage: Eukaryota; Viridiplantae; Streptophyta; Magnoliopsida; Zingiberales; Zingiberaceae. The record is from RNAcentral.